UUUUUCUAUUUGUGCAAUUUACAUUACUGCAAACUUCCUUAACCUUCUUUUUGCACUCCUACAAAAGCUUUUAAGUUCAAUAUCUUUCUGAAACGGAUUGAAUCGAAACGAAUAUUUUUCGGAAUCAAUGAUUUCUUUCGCUGCACUAAUUCNNNNNNNNNNNNNNNNNNNNUUACUGCAAACUUCCUUAACCUUCUUUUUGCACUCCUACAAAAGCUUUUAAGUUCAAUAUCUUCUGAAACGGAUUGAAUCGAAACGAAUAUUUUUCGGAAUCAAUGAUUCUUUCGCUGCACUAAUUCCCCCCCCCCCCCCCCCUCUCCCCCUAGACAUUUUGACUUAUCACCACCUGAAUAAACUGUCUAUGUCUUUUUGCUGAUGACAAAGGGGGAGAAGUAGACGAAAUCUCUUCAAUUGUGUUUACUUUGAUGUUAUAAUCUUAUGUUGCUUACCUUGAUAUUGAAAUUUUAUGCUGAAAAUUUCUAUGUUAUUGUGAUCUUUUCAAUGCUGAAAAUUUCUGUGAUGUUAUGAUUUCUUUACCAUAAAAAUGAUGCAAUAUCAUAUUAUUAAUAUUGUGAACUUUUGAAUGUCAUAAUACAAUAAUGAUGAUAUUUCAUGCAAGUAGUGAUGAAAGGCUAUGCCGAAACAUUUUAUCAUGCAUGAAGUGAUUGUGAAUUUAAUAUCUUGAUGACUUGAUAUUAUGGUGAUGCACAAUGCAUGUGAUUUCUAAUUUCGAUCAAAGCUUGAAUUAAAGGUUGUGAAUUUAAAUUUGUAUGGCAUAUAGAUAUUGGGAGUUAAGAGUAACACCUUCACCACAAUUGGUUAUCAUCAUAAAAGAAGGGGAGAUUGUUGAAUCUCAAAUUUUGAUGAUGAAAUCAAUUGGUAAAUUGUUUGAUCUAAUCUAUGUGUUGAGAUAAGUGUGCAGGAUUAACUACGAUAGCAGUAAGGCAUAAAGCUGAUGAUGGGCCAGAGUCGAAGAUUCGGAUGAUGUACCAAUUGAUUUACCGGAGAGCUCAUCUGAAGAUCACCGAGAGUUCGUCGGAAGAUCGUCGAGAGUUCGUCGGAAGAUCGCCAAGAGUUCAUCGGGAGUUCGCCGGAAGCAUGUCGGAAGACUCGCCGAGAAGUUCGUUGGAGGAUCGCCGAGAGAAAAAUCGACAUAACGGACUAAUUGCUUGCCUUAAUCAUAGUUAGAAUAUUAAUUGAGUUAGGAUUGGGAGGUGAUCCCACUAACUCGAUUAGGAAUCAAUUGGGCCCUUAACAGAGCUGAAUUGGGCCGGAUUGGACAACCGAUUCAACAUUUGAAACCACGACCGAUGGUGGCCCCACCUGGUGACCCAAUCUCCCAGGUGGUAUGGGCGGUGGUAUUGCCGAUAGUUAAUGCUGUCAGGCGGUGGUACCAUCGGAGCUCGGUCUCCAAGCUCUGUCAAGCGGUCAUACCGGCCAGACUGAGCGGAGGUACCCCCAAGUGUCAAGUGUUAGGCGAUGGUACCGCCAGUACCUUGAAAUUCGGGGAUGUGACACUUUUUUACUCCAAUUUUGAAGUCAUUGGGGCCUAUAAAUACCCCACCAUUUUCUACAUAAAAGGGCAAGUGUUUAACAUAUUAUUGAAUCUCUAGGGUGUUAAGUGUUAUAAAAGUGAGAAAGAGUCCUCCCCUCUCUCUCUUAGCUUUGUAAACAUCCAAGAAAAAGGAGUGAGGCUUAUAAGGGUUAUCUCCUAAACCCGGUAAAAGGAAAAAGAGUUAUAAAAAAGGUAGUUGAUCUUCGCCUAUUGAAUGAAGGCCAUUAGUGGACGUCGAUGACCUCGACGGAGGAGGAAUCGAAAGUGGACGUAGGUUACAACUACCGAAUCACUCUAAAUUCUGGUUUGCUUUUCUAUUUAUGCAAUUUACAUUACUGCAAACUUCCUAAACCUUCUCUUUGCACUCUUACGAAAGCUUUCAAGUUCAAUAUCUUUCUGAAACGGAUUAAAUCGAAACGAAUAUUUUUCGGAAUCAAUGAUUUCAAAUAGGUCAUGACACACGAAAACUAGGUCAUUCCGAGGUAGUUUUGCUCAUUCUUGUGAGCGAUCGCUCUAUAGCCUUACAUAUUAUUCGUGCUCAUAGUUUUCAAGCAAAAACACAAAAACAAAGCAAAACAUGUUGCCAAACAUAUGUAUAAGCAAACAAAAAGCGACGAAUGGUCCUUUGACGAAGGUGUUGCAGGUACAUGACGAUCGUCUGUGACACAUUGAAGCAAACUAUUCAUGCUCACAGUUUUCAAGCAAAAACACACAAAAACAAGACAAAACAUGUUGUCAAACAUAUAAAUAAGUAAACAAAAAGCGACGAAUGGUCCGUUGACGAAGGUGUUACGGGUACGUGACGAUCGUCCGUGACACAUUGAAGUAACUUUUCUCUUCAUGCCCUUCCCUUCGAAGGUUUUGGAGAACUUGGACUACUCUGUCUUGCUGAACAAACUAUGCAUUGUACCACCAUUAUGAACGCACUUGCUAGAUUAUGACUCUUCGUCAAUACAGUCUCACUGCACUUUUCAAGGCCUAGCAACAUAUUGAACUUACUGCAUACUUCAACCUCCUACGAACGAUCCUUCUCAUGUUGAAGAUAAAGUUUUCAUACUCUAUGGCACCGAGUUGCGGUCAGUUUGGGAUGUCUACGGACAGUCUAUCGUCUACAUACAAGCCCUUGCAUAAUUAUUAAAUUCUUUAAGUUCGCAAUUCCCCUCA
Molecule: long non-coding RNA, 2719 nt
Filed under: Musa acuminata (dwarf banana)
Lineage: Eukaryota; Viridiplantae; Streptophyta; Magnoliopsida; Zingiberales; Musaceae
Description: long non-coding RNA (MACU_LNC002471)
Source: RNAcentral